This is a long non-coding RNA of Carlito syrichta (Philippine tarsier), 501 nucleotides long. RefSeq lists it as uncharacterized. The transcript has 3 exons. NCBI's taxonomy places the organism in Eukaryota, Metazoa, Chordata, Mammalia, Primates, Tarsiidae. The record is from RefSeq and is a predicted model, not a curated record.
UUCUUACUUGUCUGAGCCUGGAUUUUCUCAGCCACACGGCUCAGAGGGCUGUCCACAGCAGGACACUGGAUUCAAGUCCUGCCUGCCACCAGGCAGUUCUGGGGUGGUCUGCCCAGUAUCUCCCGUCUCCCCCUUCCAGCUGCGGGAUCAGCCUGGGUCCCCGUGUGAGCCCAGGGCCAAGUGUCUGCGACGUGGAAUGCCGGGCAGUGAGGCUGGAAGGACACGUUCGUCGUCUCCUGGGAGGAGGCCCAGCAGUCCUGCAUCCUGGCCAGCUGCGACAGUAGUGGAGCAACUGCAGCCACCAUUGCCUCGCUGACAGGCUGAAGGGAGAUUCCUGAGGCCUUCUUCCUCCUGGGCUUGCCAGGCUGAGGCGAAAGGUCCUUACCUUCAUCCUGUUGCAAAGACCCUGCUUCCAAAUAAGGCCCCACCCUCGGCCCUGGUGGACGUGUGUUCUGGGACACUGCUCAGCCCACUCCAACUCCACACGGAGGAUGCCAGCUC